RNAcentral lists this ribosomal RNA (640 nucleotides) under Bacillus sp. Bac10D1. RNAcentral's name for it is "bacterial SSU rRNA". It matches the Rfam family "Bacterial small subunit ribosomal RNA", at positions 36 to 658 of the family's 1533-position model. The record is from RNAcentral. Lineage: Bacteria; Bacillati; Bacillota; Bacilli; Caryophanales; Bacillaceae.
CUGGCGGCGUGCCUAUCAUGCAAGUCAGCGGACAGACGGGAAGCUUGCUCCCUGAUGUUAGCGGCGGACGGGUGAGUAACACGUGGGUAACCUGCCUGUAAGACUGGGAUAACUCCGGGAAACCGGGGCUAAUACCGGAUGGUUGUUUGAACCGCAUGGUUCAGACAUAAAAGGUGGCUUCGGCUACCACUUACAGAUGGACCCGCGGCGCAUUAGCUAGUUGGUGAGGUAACGGCUCACCAAGGCGACGAUGCGUAGCCGACCUGAGAGGGUGAUCGGCCACACUGGGACUGAGACACGGCCCAGACUCCUACGGGAGGCAGCAGUAGGGAAUCUUCCGCAAUGGACGAAAGUCUGACGGAGCAACGCCGCGUGAGUGAUGAAGGUUUUCGGAUCGUAAAGCUCUGUUGUUAGGGAAGAACAAGUGCCGUUCAAAUAGGGCGGCACCUUGACGGUACCUAACCAGAAAGCCACGGCUAACUACGUGCCAGCAGCCGCGGUAAUACGUAGGUGGCAAGCGUUGUCCGGAAUUAUUGGGCGUAAAGGGCUCGCAGGCGGUUUCUUAAGUCUGAUGUGAAAGCCCCCGGCUCAACCGGGGAGGGUCAUUGGAAAACUGGGGAAACUUGAGUGCAAAAGAGGA